Molecule: ribosomal RNA, 338 nt
Filed under: uncultured Pseudomonadota bacterium
Lineage: Bacteria; Pseudomonadati; Pseudomonadota
Description: bacterial SSU rRNA
Rfam family: Bacterial small subunit ribosomal RNA
Source: RNAcentral
AAUGAACGCUGGCGGCGUGCCUAACACAUGCAAGUCGCACGAGAAAGGGGACUUCGGUUCCCGAGUAAAGUGGCGCACGGGUGAGUAACGCGUGGGUAACCUGCCCUUGAAUCCGGGAUAACACUGCGAAAGUGGUGCUAAUACCGGAUACGAUCCUUAAGCGGGAGCAUAAGGAUGAAAGCCGGCCUCUCGAAGAAGCUGGUGUUCGAGGAUGGGCUCGCGUCCUAUCAGCUAGUUGGUGAGGUAAUGGCUCACCAAGGCGACGACGGGUAGCUGGUCUGAGAGGAUGAUCAGCCACACUGGCACUGAAACACGGGCCAGACUCCUACGGGAGGCAG